This is a long non-coding RNA of Monopterus albus (swamp eel), 1225 nucleotides long. RefSeq lists it as uncharacterized. The record is from RefSeq and is a predicted model, not a curated record. The transcript has 3 exons. NCBI's taxonomy places the organism in Eukaryota, Metazoa, Chordata, Actinopteri, Synbranchiformes, Synbranchidae.
AUAAAAGCAAAAUAAUACUGAUGAUAAGUAGAAAAAUAACUUUAACUCCUGAAAUCCAAUCCUAACAAUCCCUUUCAUUGACCGCAUAGCUGUCAGCUGCUGUCAUCUCAAAGUUUUUUGUUAAUAUCCACGUACAAAAAAAAUCCUUGCUGCUUUUGCAGUUUAGCUAGCAAAGAUUCAGACAUCCGUGCCCGUUACACAUCAGUCAAGUUUUUGUACUUCUCUCUCAUGAUGGUGAUUCAAAUUAUAAUUAUCCUUAAACACCAAUAUCUGUUCUCCACAAACUAGGCACACAGCUUUACCUUUGACUUCAGUAAAUAAAUACUUGGAAGUCCAUACCUUUUUAAAAACACUGCAUUCUGCAUCUAUCUUUUUUUCUCUACACUAGCUGACAUCAGUCCAACAAGUUAGCCAAAACAUUCAAAUGAGGGUGCGUAUGGUCACACGAGAAACACCCUUAAUUUAGCAGUUCCUUAAAAAUAGAAGGAGUGCAUGUUGCGUCCGUGAAUCAGGCCAUUCCCAGCACCUCGUCAGCAAGCACUGGGACUGUAGGAAACUCCGCCCCUGCACGAGUGCGAGCACACUCUCGGCUACGAGGUACACCUGCUCGCAAUUAUCAGAGCAGUACUUAAGAAGAGCGUUGGUGGGUCCUUGUUGCCAAAUGAUCUCUCGAUGUCCAGCAAGUAUUCAGAUUAUCCUGUGGGACUGUACGUACCUCCACGGCAACUUGGCUACCCAGGCGCACCUCCCACACUGGUGUAGAGCAGGUGGGCUGCUGCCACACCUGCUGUGAACCACGACUUCUACUGCCAGCGGAUUCACACACCGACCAGCAGACACCUCAUCACCUCGCGACUCCCUGCACAACUCAUUCAUCAUAACCCAGUGGUUGCCUCUGCUCACCGCCAACCCCGAGUUGUUCAUCUAGCGGUCCAGUCAACACAACUCCCAGUCACCCAUGACCAGCUGAAACGUCCCCACCACAUCUUAAUAUUUUCUGUUACCACUUCUGAUUAAAUCAUUUUGAGCUUGAGUCUGUGUCCAAGUCCUGCAUUUACUGGGUCCUCAGUUGUUAAUCCUGAUGGCUAGCCGUAACAAUGCAGUUGUAAUGCAUGUAUUACUGUAAAAUAUUUACACCGACUUUUAAUUUACUGAUGACUUCAUGCGGGCUGUUCAGGGAGAGCCAGAGGGCCGGAUGUGGCCCGCGGGCCAUACAAUGCCCAGG